UCAGCCUUGGUGUAGUGGUAGCACGGCCUCGCCUAUUAAUAGGUUAAUGCGGCAAUUUUCGAGGCAGUUCUGGGUUCGAUUCCCGGGGUCUGAA
Non-coding RNA from Mycena epipterygia, 94 nucleotides. NCBI's taxonomy places the organism in Eukaryota, Fungi, Basidiomycota, Agaricomycetes, Agaricales, Mycenaceae. The record is from the annotation of a GenBank genome assembly.